AUGUUCAUGCAGCGGUAGUAUCUGCACUAGCAAGGUCAAUCCAAGGCAUGAUAUUUGCUCUCUGAAAACUGUUCCAAUAUCGCUCCCUCAUAACUAGACAUACAGUCAGCACUGGCAAUUUUUGACCACCUCUAAAGAGA
Molecule: small nuclear RNA, 140 nt
Organism: Patagioenas fasciata monilis
Lineage: Eukaryota; Metazoa; Chordata; Aves; Columbiformes; Columbidae
Rfam family: U4 spliceosomal RNA
About the family: U4 small nuclear RNA (U4 snRNA) is a component of the major U2-dependent spliceosome. The structure of U4 snRNA from yeast and human has been reported. U4 snRNA presents a k-turn RNA motif in the 5p-SL related to recognition of Snu13 protein.
Source: Rfam